CUAAAAAUAGUUUUCAAAGACUUAUAUAUAUGUAUAUGUUCACAUUUAAGGUUUUCUACAAUAAACACACAAAAUAUUUAUUUACAGUGAAGAGUUACAAUGUCAGCAUCUAAAUUUGCUAUAUUUUAUAUUGUUCUGGUGUUUCUUGCUAGUUGUCAUGAAUGUAUGUCAUAUAUUUCUUACAUUUCGUCUAAUCCCUUUUUAUCAUUAUCAUUAAAAUAAUAAUAAUAUCCUCUAUCAUCUUUUUAAUUUUUGUAAGUUUUAAAUUUUAUACAGGUGCCGACCUCAACAGAGGGCCCAAACCAACAUGCUCUAAAACACCAAAGAAUGUUUGGUGUUGCAGCAACAAUUCACACUGUCGGGAAACCAAAGCGCUAUGUGAGAAGAUUUGUUGGGUCCGCGGUUGAAUUUUUCUGAAGAGAACUUCUAUAAUUAUUUAUUCCAAAUAUUUUUGUACUU
RNAcentral lists this long non-coding RNA (459 nucleotides) under Brassica napus (rape). RNAcentral's name for it is "long non-coding RNA (BNAP_LNC008051)". The record is from RNAcentral. Lineage: Eukaryota; Viridiplantae; Streptophyta; Magnoliopsida; Brassicales; Brassicaceae.